GUACUGAAUAAGUGAGUGGGGAAUAAUGUGAAAAUCAUUAACUGUUCCUGCAACGGUAAGGAAAAAAUCUAAGUCCGAGCGCCACCCAGUAU
This 92-nucleotide non-coding RNA is filed under the name unclassified sequences. The record is from Rfam.